Molecule: ribosomal RNA, 253 nt
Filed under: uncultured bacterium
Lineage: Bacteria
Description: partial 16S ribosomal RNA
Rfam family: Bacterial small subunit ribosomal RNA
Source: RNAcentral
UACGGGGGGGGCGAGCGUUAUUCGGAAUUAUUGGGCGUAAAGGGCGCGUAGGCGGCUUGGUAAGUCAAAGGUGAAAUCCCUCGGCUCAACUGAGGAAUUGCCUUUGAAACUGCCUGGCUUGAGGCCGGGAGGGGGUAGCGGAAUUCCCAGUGUAGCGGUGAAAUGCGUAGAUACUGGGAGGAACACCGGUGGCGAAGGCGGCUACCUGGACCGGUUCUGACGCUGAGGCGCGAAAGCGUGGGGAGCAAACAGG